UGGGGAAUAUUGGACAAUGGGCGCAAGCCUGAUCCAGCCAUGCCGCGUGAGUGAUGAAGGCCUUAGGGUUGUAAAGCUCUUUUGUCCGGGACGAUAAUGACGGUACCGGAAGAAUAAGCCCCGGCUAACUUCGUGCCAGCAGCCGCGGUAAUACGAAGGGGGCUAGCGUUGCUCGGAAUCACUGUGCGUAAAGGGCGCGUAGGCGGCUAUUUAAGUCGGGGGUGAAAGCCUGUGGCUCAACCACAGAAUUGCCUUCGAUACUGGAUAGCUUGAGUAUGGUAGAGGUUGGUGGAACUGCGAGUGUAGAGGUGAAAUUCGUAGAUAUUCGCAAGAACACCGGUGGCGAAGGCGGCCAACUGGACCAUUACUGACGCUGAGGCGCGAAAGCGUGGGGAGCAAACAGG
RNAcentral lists this ribosomal RNA (404 nucleotides) under Acidobacteriota bacterium. RNAcentral describes it as "Acidobacteria bacterium partial 16S ribosomal RNA". It matches the Rfam family "Bacterial small subunit ribosomal RNA", at positions 355 to 776 of the family's 1533-position model. Lineage: Bacteria; Pseudomonadati; Acidobacteriota. The record is from RNAcentral.